Molecule: long non-coding RNA, 3749 nt
Organism: Oreochromis niloticus (Nile tilapia)
Lineage: Eukaryota; Metazoa; Chordata; Actinopteri; Cichliformes; Cichlidae
Exons: 2
Source: RefSeq, a predicted model, not a curated record
UGAUGUGGCGCUGUGUAAAUAAAACUGAGUGGAAUGAUAAAGCAUGGACAUUUCUAUGCUUCUGUGUUUGUACAGUUAGGACUAUAAGUGGCCUCUAAUGUGACAGAAGGUCACGACACAGUUCAUUUCCAGAGCUCACAAUCGCCUCGUCUGCAGUAUUUUAGCGAGGAACGAACAGACUGACGGCUCCGGCGUCGGAGCAGAGGAAGAAACGACGCUGCAUUUCAGUGUGUGCAGGAUCUGUCACUGAGCCCGAGGACCUGAGAGCGAAGCUGAGCGUUACUGAGCAGCUCUGAUUAGGAGGAAGAUGCUCUCCGGUCUCCCUCAGGCUGCAUCACCGGCAGCCUCAGUGAACGCCUUCUAACAUUUACAGUCUGUUUAUCUGACAAUGAAAUCUGCUCCCUGUUUCACUUCAUCCCACUGUGAGUGAGCAAAUGACAAGAGGUUUAAUUCCUAUUUGCUCUUAUGUUUUAUGCAAAGAGUGGUUCAUUUAUUCAUCCGUCCUGCAGCCAUGACGAACACUGAAACGCACACAGACAACAGUAAGACAUGAGAGCAGACAUGUGAGCCUCCCCCUGAUUCUUGGAUUUAAAAUUAGUAGUUCCAGCAACAAAGCAAAUUUUGCCUGUGGCAUUUAUGUCUGUGUAUGAUUUACUGUCAGUUUUAACGUAUGAGGAACCAAGUUUUUAUAGCAGGUUCCAAACUGCAGCCCAGGGUUAGGGUGAACCCUGAUAUACUCACAAAACCCAACAUGUCAAAAUACUGACAUACAGGGAACAUAAAGCUCUUCAUAUUUACUGAUUUUAGCCUUGAUGCACUCAAAAAAUUCAUGCCCAAAAUCCUGACUUUGCCUAUUUUAAUUACAUGUAAUUUUGUAAAAUAUGAAUUUGAAUGGAAUCUAAUCAGAUAUAGUGUACUUGAUUUUCAUACAUUCGGUUUAUAGCGGUCAGCUUCCCUGAAGAUUAAACAUUACAAUAAAUAAUCCUUUGAUCAAAAUUGUUGCCUCGUGUUUAUUCAGGGUGAAAAAUAAUUUUUCGAGUGUGGCCACGUACCAUUUAGGUCUGUAAUCAACAGUAAAAUGCUUCGAAAACAUGAAUUUGAGGCUGAAAUGAGAACUUUAUAGCUUUUAUAUCUUUGUUUAAAUCGUUAGGCUGUUAGGUCGUCAAAGCAAAAUACCCCAAAAUCUCAAAACUGACCAAUGCAUAGAGAAAUAUUUCUGUCUGCAGGAUUCUGUCUCAAGCUAAAAUGUGAUUUUUUUUUAGAAAUUUUAAUUAAUAUUAUUCUGAAAUACUGUUUAACGAAGGACAAACAGGCAAAGACUUCAUAAAGCUAGAAACAGCCGUGAUUGGUUGGCCAUAACUGGAGGAAGAAGGACUGUUAAGCUAUCAGCUAAUGCUAGUCAGACUGAUUACCAGUCUGCCUCCAAAGACUGUACAUGGACAUCACUCAGGCACAGGUGCAUGCUAAUUGGUGCUCAGUAACAUCCAAUUAAAAUCAUCAAAGUUCACUGUGCACCAAACCUGGAGCUCCGCCUUCUUGGACGGUCUGUUAUUACAGUAACAGGUCCAGUUCAGGUGAAGCUAGCAGACAGCUAGCAGCUACAGCCACCUGUGUCACCAUCCGCCUGUCAGUCACAGAGGCCACGCCCUUAAUAAUGCAAACUUUAGGCCUUAAUACAAUAUAACCAGGUGAGUUAUAGUACAGGUGUUAUGAAGGAGGGAAACAGACCAAACAGUUUGUGUAUCAGGCUGUAAACAUGUUUGUUUUAACAUGGAAGUCUAUGGGGACUGACUCACUGCUGCCUCUGCUGGACAGUAGAGGAACUCCAGGUUUCAGUGUUUCAGCAUUGGUGUUUUUGUAUGUCUGAUGUUAAAAAAGCAAAAAAAGGAGGGCUGGUGCACGAGCUCAAGACGUAACAAGACGAGAUGAUGAGAGAAAAGCGCAUGACAUGAAAAAAAAGACAAACUCGGAGUGUGGAGGUCGGAUAUUAAAGAGAGAAAUUCAGAUACUCCUCUUUCCUCCCUCUGCCUCACGCUCACACACUCACACACACCCUCAUGCCUCUCCCCAGUCCGCCCCAAGGCUAACACUUGGGAAAGCGUCAGUCUGUCUGCUUAUAACUAUCUGUCACAGAUAAGGAUGGGGAUAAACACACACACACACACGGACAGGGGCCACAGACAGAGACACACUCCGUCUCCAGUCUCAUAUCAGAUGGUGACGUGCACACAUGACCAACACACCGACUCCGCCACGAGCACUUUGAGCUAUCUUUCACGAGGCGACGCGUCAGACACACUUUUUCAUUUCAGAGAAAACGCGACAAACAGCUCGCAGCUCUCCCAGCAGAAGCUGAAAUAUCUGAAUUCAUUGUUGGCCUGAGAAAAAACACACACAGGCAGCACUCAGGAAGAAAUAAUAACUGCAUUCGUCUGAAAAGAUGUGAUUUGGUCAGCAGGACUGAUGACACGUUAGGACGUUAAACCUCCCCAGACGGCCGGGUGUAUAGUAUCAGUGUGCAGCACAGAGUACAGUGACGGUGACAGCAAAGUGCCAAUUAUGUUCAUUUGGUCGCUCGGCGUGACGUCGCCGGCUCUGAAACAGGCAGAGAGACGUGUCGAUACAGAGCAGCUGCUGCAGGGAUCUCAUUCAGGCCUCUGCUUUUUCUGCUGCGCUCAGGUUAGUGCGGGACACAAUAAAGUGCUCCCCUUCACUGUAGAAACACUUUGCUGCAGGCAGGAAGAGUCAUACUAACCUCUGACACACACCUGGCCACCAGCAGCACAUACAGGAGUAACCUGUGAUAUAUAAACAUUUGUGGAUCAGAUCUGGGCUGCACACACUUUGCUAUCUAGCGCACCUGUGCACGUGUUCACGUCCCAGUUAUCUUAUCUGGGUCACGGUAGAUUCCUUCGACGUGACUCUUACGCAGCACGGUGGUCUUACCAAAGUCGGGAUGGGCACGCCCUCCUCCCAGGAUCAGGAGUUUGGAGCAUCGAGGUUUAAUCUGUGGCGUCCCUGAUAUUUGAUGUGCAAACUGUUUUUGUAGGUGACAAAGUGUCUCGAGUUCAUUUCACUCCACGUUCCUGUUUCUCCCGCCGGGGACGACCACCUGUGCCGAGAACAGUCCUGACCCGCUGCUCGAUUUCGUGCCGCUGAACCUGAUAAACGAAAUGUUUCAUUCAUGACGUGACUUUUCCCACGACAGCGUCGCCGCUGGAUGUAAACAAGCUGACAUUUUCUCACCUGUGAAUCAUUCCCGCAGUUUGAAGACAAAUGUCAUCAGGAGCUGCUGGAAGCAGACGAUGCGCAGAGCUCUGCGUCCUGACGGCGACGAUUUGGUUUCAUGUUUUUAACUGAAUUAUCAAUCCUCCACUCUGCUUCCACUCAACUGCUGCCAGCCUGUGUUCAUACAGUCAUGCAUAAUAGAGCUUCAGCCUGUCCCGCACUUUUAUUGGCAGAUAUCUGAAAGCUUCAGCCUGACUUCGCAGUGAGCCCUGAAAUGGAAGCUAAUUCUGAAAUGCUAAAAUAGCAAAAAUGUACCGAACAACACGCCGCUGAUAAAUAAUUUACACCAGUGAUGAUAAAUGAAGUUUGAGUGCAAACAAGCUUCCAUCUCUUAAAUCUGCUGAACAUUUCUAAUUGCUAACAUAGAAACAUAACGCCGGGCCCAGCACAGCACUGUCAACCUGUUACAUUAAUAUUCUGAAAGGACCUAAUAUAAUAUUGGUAUUAAGCAUUAUGUCUGU